Molecule: ribosomal RNA, 179 nt
Filed under: Lobelia alsinoides
Lineage: Eukaryota; Viridiplantae; Streptophyta; Magnoliopsida; Asterales; Campanulaceae
Also listed under: 1 other name
Description: 5.8S ribosomal RNA
Rfam family: 5.8S ribosomal RNA (bases 6-161)
About the family: 5.8S ribosomal RNA (5.8S rRNA) is a component of the large subunit of the eukaryotic ribosome.
Source: RNAcentral
AAAACGACUCUCGACAACGGAUAUCUCGGCUCUCGCAUCGAUGAAGAACGUAGCAAAAUGCGAUACUUGGUGUGAAUUGCAGAAUCCCGUGAACCAUCGAGUCUUUGAACGCAAGUUGCGCCCGAAGCCGUCAGGCCGAGGGCACGUCUGCCUGGGCGUCACGCAUCGCGUCGCCCCCC